CCUCGCAGCGAAAUCGAAACUCCCGUCCGACUCAGCUGUCGUCACACUGAGCACGGCGCAUUGUCGGCGGCCAAUCUUCGCCCCAACUCCAGCCCGGCUACCUUCAUUGCCGCUGUGGCCGACCGCUCCGCGAGUUUCCAAUGACGGUGGUGUGGCGGUGUCUCCAAAGCGACGCGGAACAAUGCUAUUAACUAGCCGAUGUGCAAGCCUAGCGUCGCCAUCGGAACGCAGCUCAAAAGGGGCCUGUCGUGUCUACCUAUGUUCACAUCUAUGACUACAACUGCAAAACAGACCGGUUCCUGCUAAGAAUGCGAAGAAACUACUGCACAACAAAAUCCCAGUUCAAAUCACCACCGAUACGUGCAUAGCCCUAUUAUGCACAUAACGAUCUCCCCACCGAGAAUUGUGAUCCCCUCUCCCAAACCAGAUGUAUGUCAUAGUACCAAGACUGACCUGUGAGAAGC
Phyllopteryx taeniolatus (common seadragon) is the source of this 464-nucleotide long non-coding RNA. RefSeq lists it as uncharacterized. NCBI's taxonomy places the organism in Eukaryota, Metazoa, Chordata, Actinopteri, Syngnathiformes, Syngnathidae. The transcript has 3 exons. The record is from RefSeq and is a predicted model, not a curated record.